This 1627-nucleotide long non-coding RNA is filed under the name Citrus maxima (pomelo). RNAcentral's name for it is "long non-coding RNA (CMAX_LNC004231)". Lineage: Eukaryota; Viridiplantae; Streptophyta; Magnoliopsida; Sapindales; Rutaceae. The record is from RNAcentral.
UGGAAUUCGUCAUUGGGGUCCUCACGUGUAAGCAUCACGUGCACCACUAAUUCUGAGUUUCUGACGAAGUCUAAGUUCAGUUAAAAUUCUUUGCAGCAGGAAGGUGGUGUGGUGAGUAGCUCCCUCAACUUGUGAACCGUGAUUAGUCAAAUAAUCAAGUACACGUGGCAUCAUGAAACGCUUCGAAGAAUAACCUCGGCAGGUCUGUCCAGUAUGAUGACAUGUCAGCAACGUUUUACAACAGAAAGCUGCUAUGGGGUAAGCAUGAUAGUGGUAGCGUAGAAGCUGUGUAUGCAUAUCACCCGUCUGUUGAAAUGCUCGCAGUAAUCAAACCUCUUAUAACACUGCUUCAUCUGUCAAGUCAAAUUUUCCUCGGAGUCAAGAAAUGGAGAACUAACAGGUAUGCAUUUCUGAAACCAUUAUUAUAUUCAAACACAAGGAUUCGUAUAAAAGCUUAUAAAUGAUUAUGAAAGUAAGCAUGACGGAAUCAGCAUUUCUUGAUUUUCUUCAAUAAGCGGAAAUAGUGUGUCCCAAUAAAUUUAUAAACGAUGCGUGAAAAUAUUAUAUUAUAUACUUAGUUGUAGUUGAUUGAUUUUCCUUUUAAUCUUCCUGUAAUAUUCCACGACAGAGCUGAUUUAAAGACUUAGCCCAACUCAUUCCUCUAAGUUCAUUAAAUGUUAAUAUUUUUCUGCACCAAGGUUGACUUGAUGGUGCGUUAUUUUCAAUUUUUUUCAUUGACUUGUAUUUUUGGUUUAAUAUUCACAAAAAAUAAAGAAAGCAAUCAGCUCUUGUAACGUGCUCUGUUCUGUUUUCCACCAAAAAUAUAAUUAUUUGUUACCUCUAUUUUAUCAAAUAAUCAUGAUUAAUGCUGCUGGGAAAGCUUUAUUAGUCUUUCUUUUCUUUUAUCGUGGUCGUUGUUUGUAUUUGAUGAUCCCAAAAUACACGCUACGCAAUAUAGCAAUUGUCGAUUCCACAGUAAAGCAUAUAAAAUAAUAAGUAGGUUAUGUGAUCUUUCAUUGUCAUCACCUAGUCUCCAAUUGUUUGCAUUAUUUUCUUUUUGAAAAUGCUUCACGAAAUCAAAUUACUAAUAGAGGUCAUAAAUGUACUGCUCCUGCAUUUUCUUAAUCAUCCCACUUCUCUCAAAUUCUCUGAAAUCCCUUAUACGUCUUCUGGUCUCGUUUUCAUAAUAAUCGUUGUCCUAAACCUUCUUUGCAGAUCUUUCACUGUGCUCCCUUUUUCUUAUUUCUAGCUUUUUGCUUUUCUUUUUCACAUGGUCUUUAUUUAUAUUUGAUGUUUCCAAAUAUACACGCAACUAUUUGUGGGGAGUUAUGUUGCAACAGUGGUACGAUAUUAUUGUUGCUUUCAAUCAUUGAAUUUACCUAAUACAAUUGUACAACUAUAAAUUUAAUGGUUAGUUGCAACCACUGUUUCACCAUAGUUUUGCCCCCAUUUGUGACAGCGAAUAUUUUUACCUAGUUGUUGGAUUGUCGCUUUCUAUGUUUUGUCUUUUUGGUCGACUUUAACAUGGUUUAGAGUUUUUGAACGCGUCUUCCAAGUGCAGAUGCCGAGUAUAUCAACAGUUCGAUGAAAUGCCCAUAUGAAUAAUUUGAGGACCCAGGGGGCCCGC